Molecule: non-coding RNA, 117 nt
Organism: Heterocephalus glaber (naked mole-rat)
Lineage: Eukaryota; Metazoa; Chordata; Mammalia; Rodentia; Bathyergidae
Source: Rfam
GCCUACGGCCAUAUCACCCUAAAUGCGCCUGAUGGCAUCUGAUCUCGGAAGCUAAGCAGGGUUGGGCCUGGUUAGUACUUGAAUGGGAGACCUCAUAUCUUUCUUAUACUGUGACAU